UGGGGAAUUUUGGACAAUGGGCGAAAGCCUGAUCCAGCAAUGCCGCGUGUGUGAAGAAGGCCUUCGGGUUGUAAAGCACUUUUGUCCGGAAAGAAAUGGCUCUGGUUAAUACCUGGGGUCGAUGACGGUACCGGAAGAAUAAGGACCGGCUAACUACGUGCCAGCAGCCGCGGUAAUACGUAGGGUCCAAGCGUUAAUCGGAAUUACUGGGCGUAAAGCGUGCGCAGGCGGUUGUGCAAGACCGAUGUGAAAUCCCCGAGCUUAACUUGGGAAUUGCAUUGGUGACUGCACGGCUAGAGUGUGUCAGAGGGGGGUAGAAUUCCACGUGUAGCAGUGAAAUGCGUAGAGAUGUGGAGGAAUACCGAUGGCGAAGGCAGCCCCCUGGGAUAACACUGACGCUCAUGCACGAAAGCGUGGGGAGCAAACAGGAUUAGAUACCCUGGUAGUCCACGCCCUAAACGAUGUCAACUAGUUGUUGGGGAUUCAUUUCCUUAGUAACGUAGCUAACGCGUGAAGUUGACCGCCUGGGGAGUACGGUCGCAAGAUUAAAAGCUCAAAAGGAAUUGACGGGGUCAUAGCUGUUUCC
Molecule: ribosomal RNA, 586 nt
Filed under: uncultured bacterium
Lineage: Bacteria
Description: partial 16S ribosomal RNA
Rfam family: Bacterial small subunit ribosomal RNA
Source: RNAcentral